RNAcentral lists this ribosomal RNA (497 nucleotides) under uncultured bacterium. RNAcentral describes it as "partial 16S ribosomal RNA". It matches the Rfam family "Bacterial small subunit ribosomal RNA", at positions 28 to 507 of the family's 1533-position model. The record is from RNAcentral.
GAUGAACGCUGGCGGCGUGCCUAAUACAUGCAAGUCGAGCGAACGGACGAGAAGCUUGCUUCUCUGAUGUUAGCGGUGGACGGGUGAGUAACACGUGGAUAACUUACCCAUAAGACUGGGAUAACUUCGGGAAACCGGAGCUAAUACCGGAUGAUCUUUUGAACCGCAUGGUUCAAACGUGAAAGAAGGUCUUGCUGACACUUAUAGAUGGAUCCGCGCUGCAUUAGCUAGUUGGUAAGGUAACGGCUUACCAAGGCAACGAAGCAUAGCCGACCUGAAGGGGUGGUCGCCCAGACUGGAACUGAGACACGGUGCAGACUCCUACGGGAGGCAGCAGUAGGGAAUCUUCCGCGAUGGGCGAGUGCCUGACGGUGCAACGCCGCGUAAGUGAUGAAGGUCUUCGGAUCGUAAAACUCUGUUAUUAGGGAAGAACAUAUGUGUAAGUAACUGUGCACAUCUUGACGGUACCUAAUCAGAAAGCCACGGCUAACUACGUG